Molecule: long non-coding RNA, 6810 nt
Filed under: Eucalyptus grandis
Lineage: Eukaryota; Viridiplantae; Streptophyta; Magnoliopsida; Myrtales; Myrtaceae
Description: long non-coding RNA (EGRA_LNC005108)
Source: RNAcentral
UUCGCUCCUGUUCUCUACCCAACCCACCACUUCCCUCUUUGUAAAAUUUUUCUCAGUCGGUUCCCACAAACACCGAGAACCCAGAAGAGCCUCUCCCUUUCGUCACCCUUCGCAAAUGCUCCUCAAGACCCUGCCGUUUCAGGAGCAAGGCCACGAGAGGACGCCGGUUCUCUAAGUCCACAAGAGAUCGAAGCACUUCAAGUUCGUCGCCCUGUCCCUGGGGCUCUUGGGCUUCUCUUUCUUGACGGUUUGUUUCAUCUUCUUCUUUGGUCAUUACGUGGAUCAUGGUAAGGACGGGGUCGUGGGAGGAGGGUUCUUUGGGUACCCUGGCCGAAUGGAGAGUCUGGCGUGGUCGAACUUGAAGUUGAAUGGCUCUGAUGAUGUCGAGAGGGUGGAUUUUCUCGGGGAGGUGGGUGAUGGGCGUGAUGUGUUCGAGGGUGAUUGGAUCUGGGAUGAUAACUAUCCACUGUAUCAGUCAAGAGAAUGCGGGCUUAUGGAGGAAGAAGGACGAAUAUUUGUUGUGAUUUUUCCUGAUAGGAAUUUGCUUGAAUAUGCAUGACUUAGAUUAAAAAUCGAGACAUUUAGAGAUCAUUAAGCAUUUCAUGCCAAAAAUAUAGAAUGCAUAUUGAUUGUGAUGAAUCGCGAUAAAAGGAUGAGGAGGUGCUCUAUAUACUAAGUGAGCAAGUAUGUAACGUAAGAUGGUGUUUAUUUUUAUUUUUUAAAUUUAAAUGAGCGAAAACAUUGUCUUGACAUUUUAUCAUGGAAAUAUGAACAAACACAAAGUUACAAAUGUAUAUAUGUUUUCGACUAGCAAUGACCUUUCUUUGGUUAGAUGCACACCGGCUAGCUAUUAGCAUUGGCCAAGUUAGUGCUCACCCAAUUUGGGGAGAAGAAAUUCUGAAAGUGUCAGAAAGAGUUCAUUGACAUAUGCUGAUAAUAAUUACUGCCAAAGUUUUUGUUUUUCUAAAAGAAAAAAAUAUGGAGGGGGAACAGGAAGUAGAAUUGAAAAAAAGGAUAAAAAAAAAGGGGGGAGAAAACAGAGGAAAUAUGGGGUGGGUUGUCACUGAGCCUGAAGCAAAAGCCCUCUCGCACCAGUCAGCCACCCCCAUGGCUUAUUUAUGAACCCCUGCAAAAAGCCUCCAUGGCGAAGCUAAGCCCAAGACACGCACAAACACACUGACUUCCAAGCCAAGCUAAUUAGCCACAUUGGCCAUGGUUAGGAGGUUUGUGCACAUUACCUGCUUGGGGAAGGAGGAUACCAUUAGAAUCGCUCCCACCCCACCCCAUAAAUAAAGAGGUCUCAAAAGAAAAAGAUUGGUGUGUCAAGAGAAGCCUUGAAGAGCAACAAAACUCUCUCUCUCUCUCUCUCUCUCUCUCUCUCUCUCUCUCUCUCUCUCUCUCUCUCUCUGUGCUAGUCUAGCAAUCUUUCUAGACCCCCCUCCCUCCGUCUCUCUCUCUCUCUCUCUCACCCCUGAAAUAGAGGAAGCAAAGGAAGCAGAGGAGUUUAAUGUGCACCCGCACAUCUCCUUAGGACGCCCCCCCCCCCUCUCUCUCUCAACAACCAGCCUAUGGGUGGUCAGAACCUCCAGAACUAGCAGCUCCAGCAGGAGCAAGAGUUCCAUGAUUUCCUGGAGCUUCUGCUGCGGUUCCGACAGUGCCUAGAUUUCCUACUGUGGUCGAAAAAGUACCAAGAGUUCAAACUGUGGCUCCAGAAGACGAUAGAGGACCGAGAUUUCAAGCAGACGAAAUGUUGGAAAUUAAUCCAGAGAAAGCAAACUGUUUGUUGUAAUCAAAAUAUCGAUGUAAAGAAGACGAUACAAAUUAUAUAAUAUUCUUCUUUUCAUGUAAACUUACAAUCUUGAAGAAGAAUAAAAUAAGAUAUCACUGAAAAAAUAACAUAAAAUUGGAGGUGAGGUACGGAUAACCGAAUUUCCUUAAUGCGAUUAGUUCCUGCCAAUGGUGCUCCGUAGAUUCACGAACUAUGCAUUCCAAGAUACAAUACCUCGAACCUGUUUGGAUUAGCACUAUGCAAAUAGGGCUCAGUCGAACCGUUCAAUUGAACCAGUACACCCAGAAAAACAGAAAAGUAGAAAAGUAUAUCAAAACCUUUUUGGAAUCGAGUCGGAAAAACAAAAAACGAAAGACCUUAUGAAUCUCUAUGCUCCCAUCUAUUUAUAGAUAUUUUUAGUUCAUGUAUAGAAGAGAUACAUGAAUUAAAUAGACACAUGUAUUCAUGAAAUUCAUGAAUCAAGAGAUACAUGAAUUCAAAAGAUUCAUGAAUCCAGAGAUACAUGAAUUCAAGAGAUUUGUGAAUUCAAUAAAUACAUGAACUGAAAGAUACAUGACUCUAGGAAAUUCAUGAAUUCAAUAGAUAUAUAAACAUAAAAGUUUAGGAAAUUCAUGAAUCCAAAAAAGAUACAUUAACAGAAAAAACGUAUCUUAAUUUAAUGGCUUUCGUUGAUCCAUUAACCAUAAUUACAACAAUCCCUCACAUUAAUAGAUCAACAAAACAUUUUUGACUCGAAGGAAUCUGAGCAUGUCUAUUGAAAUACACUGCAUCAAGAUAGGUAGCUUUCGCUUUGAACCUUUUUUAGUGAAAGCCUAUCGGACUUACUUAACUAGUCGAUGGACUAAGCCUUGAAUCGCCAGUUGUUUGUGUAAGCCUAGACAAUAAACCUCACACGGAGUAUUUCCAAUUCAAGAUUGGUUCUCGAUUGUGUUCGUUCUUUCGGCCUUAAACCUCUUGGGAUUCAUGCAUGCUUUAGAAAAUCUAGCCUUUAAAGAUUUUCAUAGAGACGACCAACUCCACGCAUAUAUGUGCAUUCCUUUUGAAGAUAUCCUACCAUAUCUCACUUGGAUGUUACAUUCCAAGUUAUAGGAAUCAUUAAACGCAUAGCGUACCCUUAAUAACGCUGUAGGAAAGCACUGUUGCAUCAUAGGAAUGGGAGACAAUGCUUACACUGGAGUUUCCAGAAUUUGCGUUGUCCUAUUGAACCUAGACCACAGGAUCUCCAAUCGCAUAGGUUAGGUUUUCACCUUGGAAUCUCUUUAUUGGGUUAAGGCUCUUAAAUCCAUUCCCCUCGAUGCGCAGUUUAUCUGCUCUCUUGACAAACCUUUUGUCAGCGGAUCCGCAAUAUUUUCCUUUAACUUUACAAAGUCUAAAGAAAUGAUUCCAUUUGAGAGCAAUUGCCUUACGGUAUUAUGUCUACGACGAAUAUGUCUAGACUUACCAUUAUAAAUCACAUUAUGCACCCCCCACACUUUUAGAAAAUUGUAGGAUAGCAACUUUCCAUUCCAGAACUCAUAUGGAGUUUUACCUGUCUUUUUGUAGGGUAUUUUAUUAAGAAUAUAAUUUGCAGUUAAAACUACCUCCCCUUACAAGUUUUGAGGUAAACUUGAACUCAAAAACAUGUCGUUAGCCAUCUCCUUUAGUGUCAUGUUCAAUCGUUCAGUAACUCCAUUUUGUUGUGGAGUAUAAGGUACAGUCAUUUGGAGAAUUAUUCCAAAACUAGCACAAAACUCUUUGAAAUUGAUUGAAUUGUAUUCUCCUCCUCUAUCAGACCUAAGCACUUUGAUUCGUUUAUCAAGUUGGCUUUCAACUUCACUUUUUAUACUUGACAAACAUGCUCAUAGUCUCAUCUUUGCUAGUUAGUAAAUAAACAUAGCAAAAUCUAGUAUAAUCAUCCACAAAUGUGAUGAAGUACUUCUUUCCACCUCUACUUUCUACAAAUUUUAAAUCACAUAGAUCACUAUGGAUUAAUUGUAAAGGUUCACUUGUUCUUUCAAUGGAUUUGAAAGGUUUCUUGGAAAACUUGGCCUCAACACAAGUCUCACACUUGUAACGGGUAUCCAACUCAAAUCUUGGAAUUAACCCCAAGUUUGCUAUUCUCUCUUUAUUGUACCAUAGUUUACAUGUCCUAAUCUACCAUGUCAUAGAUAAGGAGACACAACCGUGUAAACUAAAGACUUUUCUUUAUUAAUAGUCUUUGGGUACAUAUAAUUCGAGUUUACAUCAAUGACAGCCACAUUGGCCUUAAACAGGUCAUUACACAAGUACCAUUUCCCCACAUACAUCCCUCCUUUCGAAAGUACAAACUUGUUAGAUUCAAAUACAAUUUUGAAACCCUUCUUGACAAGUAUGGGGCUAGAAAUUAGGUUUUUCCGAAUCUCUGGUACAUGUAGCACAUUCAGCAGGGCGACCUCCUUGCCAGAUGUAAACUUCAGGAUCACCUUUUCUCUUCCGACAAUCUUUGCUGAUGCAGAGUUAGCCAUAUAAAGCUUCUCAUCUUCUUCAGCUUUCUCAUAAGAUGAGAACAUGUGUUUAUUUGCACAUAUGUGAUUUGUGGCACAUGUAUCUAGCCACCAGCCAUUAGUGUUCGACACCAGAGAUGUUUCGAACAUCACCACAGCAGACAAUCUUUCAUUAGUUGUAACUGGAGGUGUUGCCAUCACAGUAGGCAAGGCUCGUUGAACUAUCCCUCCAAAAACGAAGCCAAAAGCCAUUUGUCAUGUACUGUUCUGAAAAACAGUCCCGGGCAUACCAGUCAUGUGACUUGUACCCGCACUACCAAAAUUGGUGUUAGCCCAAGGGCUCGUAGCAUUGGCUACUACAAAUUCAAACCCUGAGGGUUGAACAUCUUCCAUAGUAACGGUCGAAUCGACCAUAGGAACAUCUCCUGAAACAUUAUGAACAUUGAAUGACACUUGAUUGUUUUCUGUCAUCUCAAUAAUCUGACAAGAACAACAAACAAUGAGUGAGCUAAUCGCCUUAAGAUUGUUGGAAAUUAAUCCAAAGAAAGCAAACUGUUUGUUGUAAUCAUAAUAUCAAUGUAAAGAAGACGGUAACAGUUAUAUAAUAUUCUUCUUUUCAUGUAAACUUACAAUCUUGAAGAAGAAUAAAAUAAGAUAUCACUGAAAAAAUAAUAUAAAAUUGGAGGUGAGGUACGGAUAACCGAAUCUCCUUAAGGCGAUUAGUUCCUACCAAUAGUGCUCCGCAGAUUCACGAACUAUACCUCCCAAGAUACAACACCUCGAACCUGUUUAGAUUAGCACUAUGCAAACAUGGCUCAGUCGAACCGUUCAAUUGAACCAGCACAUCCAGAAAAACAGAAAAGUAUAUCAAAGCCUUUUUGGAAUCGAGUCGGUAAAACCAAAAACGAAAGACUUUAUGAAGCUCUAUGCUCCCAUCUAUUUAUAGAGAUUUUUAGUUCAUGUAUAGAAGAGAUACAUGAAUUAAAUAGAUGCAUGUAUCCACGAAAUUCAUGAAUCAAGAGAUACAUAAAUUCAAGAGAUUUAUGAAUCCAGAGAUACAUGAAUUCAAGAGGUUCAUAAACUCAGUAAAUACAUGAACUGAAAGAUACACGACUAUAGGAAAUUCAUGAAUUCAAUAGAUACAUAAAUAGAAAAGUUUAAGAAAUUCAUGAAUCCAAAAGAGAUACGUGAACAAAAAAAACGUAUAUUAAUUUAUUGGCUUUCGUUGAUCCAUUAACCAUAAUUACAACACAAAAGUGCUCCAAGAUCUCAAGCUGCAGCACCAAUUCAAGGACCCGGGUCCGAACCUUGAACCAGAAAGGAGGAGCGGAGGUCAUCCUGACAGAGGAUGAGGACCAGCAGCAGCUUCAACAGUUGAACCAGCACAUGGAUGCGUUCCCAGAUAGUGGGGACUUUUCGGUACCAAAUUGCGACUUCUUUUAUUUUUUGGUCGAAGAUUUUGGGACUUAAUGUGUUACAAUUUGGGUGUGUGCUCUGUUUUGGCCUGUGAACUAAUCUCUCUUUCCAGGCUUGGUAAUGACCUUUCGGAAUGAAACUCCGCAUAGGAAGCUUCGUUUCAUUCGUUUUUUUUUUCCAUCUGUUAUUCUUUUGUUGCGGUGAGAGGAAUUGUUCUUUACACCUGUUUUUGUUCUCUGGGUUUGCUUGUGCAUGCAGAUUUGUGUUCUAAAAGUGAACAUACACUGUAAUGGCUGUAAGCAGAAAGUGAAGAAAAUCUUGCAGAAAAUUGACGGUAUUACUCCUUUUUCAGUUCCAGUCCUCUUUAUUCAAUCUUUUUUUUUCAAGCCCCUCUCUCUCUCUCUCUCUCUCUCUCUCUAUUUUAGUUAGAUUUUAUUAUUAAAAAAAAAAAGUAGUUCCUUCCCGUCCUAUUUUAGAAAAUCUCAGUUGAUGUAUACUUAUCACAUUCAAUUAAAAAAAAAAUGCUUGGUUGAUUUUUCCCCUUGUUUCUUUUCUUUUGGAUUGGUGUGUUACAGGGGUGUACACCAUCAAAAUAGAUGCAGAACAGGGCAAAGUGACCGUUUCCGGGAACGUAGACCCAGCUCCACUCAUCAAGAAGCUCAUGAAAUCAGGCAAACAUGCAGAGCUUUGGGGCGCUCAGAAGUCCAACGACCAGCUCAAGAACAUGCGAAUUGAUAAUGGCAAAGGUGGAAACAAGGGCCAAAAGGGCGGUGGCGGAGUUGAAGGAAACAACCAGCCUAAGGUUGGUCAGAACCUCCCGAACCAGCAGCAGCUUCAACAUCUGAACCAGCAGCAGCUUCAGCAGCUCCAGCAGAUGAAAGCGUUCCAAGAUCUCAAGCUGCCCCAAUUCAAGGACCUCAAGAUGCCCUCCAAGGACCCGGGUCCGAUCCUGAACCAGAAAGGAGGAGGGAAAUUCAUUCUGCCUGAGGAUGAGGAAUUCACUGAUGAAGAGUGGGAUUAUGAUGAAGAUGAUAAUUUUAUGGAUGAUGAGGAUUUUGAUGAUUAUGAUGAUGCCUACCACCAAGCACCCAACAAGACGAAGCCAAUGAUGGGCAAUUGCCAGAUGCCCAACAUGAUGAUGAU